AUACGUAGGUGGCGAGCGUUGUCCGGAAUUACUGGGUGUAAAGGGCGUGUAGGCGGGGAUGCAAGUCAGAUGUGAAAUCCCACGGCUCAACUGUGGGGGUGCAUCUGAAACUGUGUUUCUUGAGUGCUGGAGAGGAAAGCGGAAUUCCUAGUGUAGCGGUGAAAUGCGUAGAUAUUAGGAGGAACACCAGUGGCGAAGGCGGCUUUCUGGACAGCAACUGACGCUGAGGCGCGAAAGCGUGGGGAGCAAACAGGAUUAGAUACCCUGGUAGUCCACGCUGUAAACGAUGGAUACUAGGUGUAGGAGGUAUCGACCCCUUCUGUGCCGGAGUUAACACAAUAAGUAUCCCACCUGGGGAGUACGGCCGCAAGGCUGAA
Molecule: ribosomal RNA, 377 nt
Filed under: uncultured bacterium
Lineage: Bacteria
Description: bacterial SSU rRNA
Rfam family: Bacterial small subunit ribosomal RNA
Source: RNAcentral